Molecule: ribosomal RNA, 254 nt
Filed under: uncultured bacterium
Lineage: Bacteria
Description: partial 16S ribosomal RNA
Rfam family: Bacterial small subunit ribosomal RNA
Source: RNAcentral
UACGUAGGGUGCAAGCGUUGUCCGGAAUUAUUGGGCGUAAAGAGCUCGUAGGUGGUUUGUCGCGUUGUUCGUGAAAACCGGGGGCUUAACCCUCGGCGUGCGGGCGAUACGGGCAGACUGGAGUACUGCAGGGGAGACUGGAAGUUCCUGGUGUAGCGGUGGAAUGCGCAGAUAUCAGGAGGAACACCGAUGGCGAAGGCAGGUCUCUGGGCAUUAACUGACGCUGAGGAGCGAAAGCAUGGGGAGCGAACAGG